CAAUAGAAGAAUAUUACGAACACUCUGUUUAAAAUUCAAAGGAUUUGGCGGUGUCUUAUAUAAUCAGGGGAACCUGUCUCAUAACUCGAUAGUCCACGACUUAAAUCUACCUUUUUUAGAAAAACCAACAUGUGUACUGCCGUCGUAAGCGAACCUCUAAAAGAAAGUACGCAAAUAUGAAGUAAAUCAUUUACGUCAGGUCAAAGUGCAGUUCAUGAACAGGAGACGAUGGGUUACAACCUUAAUACAGACAACGAAUUUAAUAUAUAAUUUAUAUUACUGAAGGAGGACUUGACUGUAAUUAUAAGCUUAUUAUAAAGAAAUGAAUAAUUUAAGACAUGCACACAU
RNAcentral lists this ribosomal RNA (348 nucleotides) under Eudrilus eugeniae. Its description in RNAcentral is "partial 12S ribosomal RNA". It matches the Rfam family "Bacterial small subunit ribosomal RNA", at positions 875 to 1390 of the family's 1533-position model. The record is from RNAcentral. Lineage: Eukaryota; Metazoa; Annelida; Clitellata; Crassiclitellata; Eudrilidae.